This 1137-nucleotide long non-coding RNA is filed under the name Homo sapiens (human). RNAcentral's name for it is "long intergenic non-protein coding RNA 2532". The record is from RNAcentral. Lineage: Eukaryota; Metazoa; Chordata; Mammalia; Primates; Hominidae.
GUACAAUAGAGCUUAUAGGCUAAUGAGAAGACAGGAAGAAACAACAGGAACACAUAUAGCUGGAAUGCAGAUGGGAUCUGUGCUACUUACGCUAGCCAUGGGAUGAUUAGAACAAGAUAAGAGACAUGAGGAAGACUUCUUCAAGGAGGUGCUCAAGCCAUGUUUUGGAAAAGAGAACUCAAGGUCUGGCAGGGAGAAAGGAGCAAGGUCCUCUUCUCCCUGAAGGCUGUCACAGUUCCUGUGCAGAGAGAGAGGGCACUGCAGCACCCAGGCGCUGACUGCCUUUUGUCAGUCUCAUUUGCAGGCCCCCAGCUGGAGAACCCAGGAGGAAGAGGAAAAAAGUUUUUUCCUCCUCUACACUCCCCAUGCAUGACUAAAGAGUAGGAGGAGUCAGCAAGACAUAUAUAGUACCCAGGAGGUGGACAAACAACUGCCUUGGUGGAAACUCUGUCCUUUCUGGACUUAUCCUGGUGCCACUGAGACUGUGCAGGGCUUCUUUUGCUCAAUAUGGGACUCAUGAGAGUCAUCGGUGUUGUGUGAGGCAGCUGUUUGUUGAUUUUCUGGACCAAAUAAUGUUCCACCGUGUGACUGGACAUACCUUAGUCUAUCCAUUCUACCACUGAUGAGCAUGUCCCACACUUACAGGGAAAGCAUCACCCGAAAGUGAGAAUGCCUAGAGGCAGGAAUCAUGGAGGCUUCCUUAACCGUCUGUCUGCAACAGCAGGUGCUAGAGAUGACACUGCAGAGUAGAGAACAAAGGAAUCUUAGUAAUUGUUCAAUCCAAUCUCCACACUUUAAAGAUGAAGAAACUGGUAUUGAGAAAAAUACACAGCUUAUCCAAGGUUGCACUGCUGGUUGGUAGCUGAGAUGAAUUUAGAACCCACAUCUGAUGACUACACCAUAUUGCUCCCAGUUUUCCUGUCUGUUCCACAUGUAAAAGUCUGACUCUUCACUUCUCCUUUGAGUAUAUAGACUUUUAACAUUUUUGUAUGUCAAGAUGGACUUUUCCUCAUACCCAGCCCCUGCCUUUUCUCCUCCCUUCAUACCUUGCAGGAUCUUUAACAGAAUUUAAAAGGAGUUUUUUGUUUUGUUUUGAUGUAUCUAAUAAAAGUCAAGGGAGGGAGAGGGCCAGUAUAA